CCUACGGGUGGCAGCAGUGGGGAAUAUUGGGCAAUGGAGGCAACUCUGACCCAGCAACGCCGCGUGAAUGAUGAAGGUCUUCGGAUUGUAAAGUUCUUUUCUAAGGGAAGAAGAAAGUGACGGUACCUUAGUAAUAAGCCUCGGCUAACUACGUGCCAGCAGCCGCGGUAAUACGUAGGGGGCAAGCGUUAUCCGGAAUCACUGGGUGUAAAGGGAGCGUAGACGGCUGUGCAAGCCUGAAGUGAAAGGCGGGGGCACAACCCCUGGACUGCUUUGGGAACUGUACGGCUGGAGUGCAGGAGAGGUAAGUGGAAUUCCUAGUGUAGCGGUGAAAUGCGUAGAUAUUAGGAGGAACACCAGUGGCGAAGGCGGCUUACUGGACUGUAACUGACGUUGAGGCUCGAAAGCGUGGGGAGCAAACAGGAUUAGAUACCCCGGUAGUC
This 443-nucleotide ribosomal RNA is filed under the name uncultured bacterium. Its description in RNAcentral is "partial 16S ribosomal RNA". It matches the Rfam family "Bacterial small subunit ribosomal RNA", at positions 338 to 795 of the family's 1533-position model. The record is from RNAcentral.